RNAcentral lists this ribosomal RNA (305 nucleotides) under uncultured bacterium. RNAcentral describes it as "bacterial SSU rRNA". It matches the Rfam family "Bacterial small subunit ribosomal RNA", at positions 333 to 655 of the family's 1533-position model. The record is from RNAcentral.
UCGUCCCUACGGGGGGCAGCAGUGGGGGAUAUUGCUCAAUGGGGGAAACCCUGAAGCAGCAACGCCGCGUGGAGGAUGAAGGUUUUCGGAUUGUAAAACUCUGUUCUUGGUGAAGAUAAUGACGGUAGCCAAGGAGAAAGCUCCGGCUAACUACGUGCCAGCAGCCGCGGUAAUACGUAGGGAGCGAGCGUUGUCCGGAUUUACUGGGUGUAAAGGGUGCGCAGGCGGCUCUGCAAGUCAGGCGUGAAAGCUAGGGGCUCAACCCCUAAACUGCGCUUGAAACUGUGGAGCUUGAGUGAAGUAGG